Molecule: ribosomal RNA, 467 nt
Filed under: uncultured bacterium
Lineage: Bacteria
Description: partial 16S ribosomal RNA
Rfam family: Bacterial small subunit ribosomal RNA
Source: RNAcentral
GACGAACGCUGGCGGCGUGCUUAACACAUGCAAGUCGAACGGAAAGGCCCUGCUCUUGUGGGGUGCUCGAGUGGCGAACGGGUGAGUAACACGUGAGUAACCUGCCCCUGACUUUGGGAUAACUUCAGGAAACUGGGGCUAAUACCGGAUAGGAGCUCCUGCUGCAUGGGGGGGGUUGGAAAGUUUCGGCGGUUGGGGAUGGACUCGCGGCUUAUCAGCCUGUUGGUGGGGUAGUGGCUUACCAAGGCUUUGACGGGUAGCCGGCCUGGCAGGGUGACCGGCCACAUUGGCACUGGGGUACGGCCCGGACGCAUACGGCGGCAGCAGUGGGGAAUAUUGCGCAGUGGGCGGGAGCCUGAUGCAGCGACGCCGCGUGCGGGAUGACGGCCUUCGGGUUGUAAACCGCUUUCGCCUGUGACGAAGCGUGAGUGACGGUAAUGGGUAAAGAAGCACCGGCUAACUACGUG